RNAcentral lists this ribosomal RNA (507 nucleotides) under uncultured Glomeromycotina. RNAcentral describes it as "partial small subunit ribosomal RNA". It matches the Rfam family "Eukaryotic small subunit ribosomal RNA", at positions 591 to 1092 of the family's 1831-position model. Lineage: Eukaryota; Fungi; Glomeromycota. The record is from RNAcentral.
CCAAUAGCGUAUAUUAAAGUUGUUGCAGUUAAAAAGCUCGUAGUUGAAUUUCGGGAUUGGCGCAUCGGUCGUGCCUUACGGGGUAUGAACUGGUGCAGUCAAUUUCUCACCUUCUGGAGAACCGCGAUGUCCUUAAUUGGGUGCCGCGGGGAACCAGGACCUUUACUUUGAAAAAAUUAGAGUGUUUAAAGCAGGCAUUUUUGCUUGAAUACAUUAGCAUGGAAUAAUAAAAUAGGACGGCAUGGUUCUAUUUUGUUGGUUUCUAGGACCACCGUAAUGAUUAAUAGGGAUAGUUGGGGGCAUUAGUAUUCAAUUGUCAGAGGUGAAAUUCUUGGAUUUAUUGAAGACUAACUACUGCGAAAGCAUUUGCCAAGGAUGUUUUCAUUAAUCAAGACCGAAAGUUAGGUGAUCGAAGACGAUCAGAUACCGUCGUAGUCUUAACCAUAAACUAUGCCGACUAGGAAUCAGACGAUGUUAAUUUUUUAAUGACUCGUUUGGCACCUUACG